Molecule: ribosomal RNA, 253 nt
Filed under: uncultured bacterium
Lineage: Bacteria
Description: partial 16S ribosomal RNA
Rfam family: Bacterial small subunit ribosomal RNA
Source: RNAcentral
UACGGAGGGAGCUAGCGUUGUUCGGAAUUACUGGGCGUAAAGCGCACGUAGGCGGCUUUGUAAGUUAGAGGUGAAAUCCCGAAGCUCAACUUCGGAACUGCCUUUAAUACUGCCAGUCUAGAGUCCGGAAGAGGUAAGUGGAACUCCUAGUGUAGAGGUGGAAUUCGUAGAUAUUAGGAAGAACACCAGUGGCGAAGGCGGCUUACUGGUCCGGUACUGACGCUGAGGUGCGAAAGCGUGGGGAGCAAACAGG